Unclassified non-coding RNA from Macaca fascicularis (crab-eating macaque), 300 nucleotides. It matches the Rfam family "Metazoan signal recognition particle RNA". From Rfam's summary of the family: The signal recognition particle (SRP) is a universally conserved ribonucleoprotein. It is involved in the co-translational targeting of proteins to membranes. The record is from Ensembl. Lineage: Eukaryota; Metazoa; Chordata; Mammalia; Primates; Cercopithecidae.
GCCAGGCACGGUGGUAUGCACCUGUAGUCCCAGCUACUCAGAAGGCUGAGGUGGGAGGAUCGCUUGAGCCCAGGAGUUCUGGGUUGUAGUGUGCUAUGCUAGUUGGGUGUCUGCACUAAGGUCAGAAUCAGUAUGGGGACCUCCUGGGAGUAGGGGACCACCGGGCUGUCUAAGGAGGAUUGAACCAGCCCAGAUUGGAAACGGAGCAGGUCAAAACUCCAGGGCUGAUUAGUAGUGGGAUCCUGCCCGUGAAUAGUCACUGCACUCUAGCCUGGGCAACACAGCAAGGCCCUAUCUCUA